RNAcentral lists this ribosomal RNA (253 nucleotides) under uncultured bacterium. RNAcentral describes it as "partial 16S ribosomal RNA". It matches the Rfam family "Bacterial small subunit ribosomal RNA", at positions 524 to 776 of the family's 1533-position model. The record is from RNAcentral.
CACAGAGGAGCCAAGUGUUGUCCGGAUUGACUGGGCGUAAAGCGUGCGCAGGCGGUUGUGCAAGACAGAUGUGAAAUCCCCGGGCUUAACCUGGGAACUGCAUUUGUGACUGCACGGCUAGAGUGUGUCAGAGGGGGGUAGAAUUCCACGUGUAGCAGUGAAAUGCGUAGAUAUGCGGAGGAACACCGAUGGCGAAGGCAAUCCCCUGGGCCUGCACUGACGCUCAUGCACGAAAGCGUGGGGAGCAAACAGG